AACCUUACGCUGUCGUGUGUGGUGUUGCGGUGGAUGGACUCCGUUGCGCGCCGUGGGUCAGUACCAUCUUCGGAUGGCUUUGGUUAAGAAUUUGCAAAGUUGAGAUGUUUUCUUGGUUGCUUUGGCUCUUGGGGAUGCGAGGCAGCAGCAUCAACAAGAGGCAAGUGGAGUUAGACGUGGCUUGGAGGUGGAUAAGGAACCUUGGAGGAGUAGCUUUGAGUUAUUGCCUGGACACAAUCAGAAAUACUCCCUCCAGUCUCUUUUAAUUGACUCGGAUUUAGAACAACUUUGUACUAAAUUUGAGUCAAUUAAAAAUGACCGGAGGGAGUACAUAAGAAGCUGGUAUAGUAACCAGCUUUUACUUCUUGGUUCUUUUCCACACGAUAAUUAUACAAUCCCUGGUCCUUUCACACUACAUGACAUGAAGGUACCAGCUUAGGUGAGGUCAUGUAGUAAGAAACGAUGGUAGCAUAUUCAUCGUUAGUCUUGCAUCUUAGCGAGCAUCCCAUUCGAAG
This is a long non-coding RNA of Lolium perenne, 515 nucleotides long. RefSeq lists it as uncharacterized. Lineage: Eukaryota; Viridiplantae; Streptophyta; Magnoliopsida; Poales; Poaceae. The record is from RefSeq and is a predicted model, not a curated record.